RNAcentral lists this small nucleolar RNA (94 nucleotides) under Camelus dromedarius (Arabian camel). The record is from RNAcentral. Lineage: Eukaryota; Metazoa; Chordata; Mammalia; Artiodactyla; Camelidae.
GGACCCCCAUGAUGUCCAGCACUGGGCUCUGAUCUCUGGUGAGGACAUGGUGCCCCCCCCCGGGACCUUUGACACCUGGGGUUCUGAGGGGUCC